CAAGACGCACCUCACAGAAUAUUCUUUUCAUUUUAGAAUCUAGUUCUUCUUAGCAAUGGGAAGAGCUCAUUUUUUUGCGCUGUUCGAAUCAGCGAAGCGCGCAAUCUCCGUGACGAUGCAGGGAGUACAUCAUCAUCAUCAUCAUCAUUAUCUACCAAAAUAAAGAGGAGGAGCGAUAAAAGACAAGGUCUGUCUGCUGCCACGGUGCGGAGAGUAGCGAACUUAUUCGCGAUCGAGCGAGACCAGCGGCUGCUAACCAAGGAUUGCAGUGAGAGACGA
This is a non-coding RNA of Nylanderia fulva, 279 nucleotides long. The record is from RefSeq and is a predicted model, not a curated record. NCBI's taxonomy places the organism in Eukaryota, Metazoa, Arthropoda, Insecta, Hymenoptera, Formicidae.